RNAcentral lists this ribosomal RNA (552 nucleotides) under Trichoderma virens. RNAcentral's name for it is "eukaryotic LSU rRNA". The stretch from base 174 to 327 matches the Rfam family "5.8S ribosomal RNA". Lineage: Eukaryota; Fungi; Ascomycota; Sordariomycetes; Hypocreales; Hypocreaceae. The record is from RNAcentral.
GUGAACGUUACAAACUGUUGCCUCGGCGGGAUCUCUGCCCCGGGUGCGUCGCAGCCCCGGACCAAGGCGCCCGCCGGAGGACCAACCAAAACUCUUAUUGUAUACCCCCUCGCGGGUUUUUUACUAUCUGAGCCAUCUCGGCGCCCCUCGUGGGCGUUUCGAAAAUGAAUCAAAACUUUCAACAACGGAUCUCUUGGUUCUGGCAUCGAUGAAGAACGCAGCGAAAUGCGAUAAGUAAUGUGAAUUGCAGAAUUCAGUGAAUCAUCGAAUCUUUGAACGCACAUUGCGCCCGCCAGUAUUCUGGCGGGCAUGCCUGUCCGAGCGUCAUUUCAACCCUCGAACCCCUCCGGGGGGUCGGCGUUGGGGAUCGGCCCUUUACGGGGCCGGCCCCGAAAUACAGUGGCGGUCUCGCCGCAGCCUCUCCUGCGCAGUAGUUUGCACACUCGCAUCGGGAGCGCGGCGCGUCCACAGCCGUUAAACACCCCAAACUUCUGAAAUGUUGACCUCGGAUCAGGUAGGAAUACCCGCUGAACUUAAGCAUAUCAAUAAGCG